This 623-nucleotide ribosomal RNA is filed under the name uncultured bacterium. RNAcentral's name for it is "bacterial SSU rRNA". The stretch from base 1 to 543 matches the Rfam family "Bacterial small subunit ribosomal RNA", at positions 338 to 873 of the family's 1533-position model. The record is from RNAcentral.
CCUACGGGAGGCAGCAGUGGGGAAUUUUGGACAAUGGGCGAAAGCCUGAUCCAGCAAUGCCGCGUGAGUGAAGAAGGCCUUCGGGUUGUAAAGCUCUUUUGUCAGGGAAGAAACGGUGAGAGCUAAUAUCUUUUGCUAAUGACGGUACCUGAAGAAUAAGCACCGGCUAACUACGUGCCAGCAGCCGCGGUAAUACGUAGGGUGCAAGCGUUAAUCGGAAUUACUGGGCGUAAAGCGUGCGCAGGCGGUUUUGUAAGUCUGAUGUGAAAUCCCCGGGCUCAACCUGGGAAUUGCAUUGGAGACUGCAAGGCUAGAAUCUGGCAGAGGGGGGUAGAAUUCCACGUGUAGCAGUGAAAUGCGUAGAUAUGUGGAGGAACACCGGAUGGCGAAGGCAGCCCCCUGGGUCAAGAUUGACGCUCAUGCACGAAAGCGUGGGGAGCAAACAGGAUUAGAUACCCUGGUAGUCCACGCCCUAAACGAUGUCUACUAGUUGUCGGGUCUUAAUUGACUUGGUAACGCAGCUAACGCGUGAAGUAGACCGCCGNGGAGUACGUCGCGAGAGUAACGUACGAAGUAGAGUAGACGGACGNGAGACGUUGCGAGGACGACGACGAGGGAGGAGG